RNAcentral lists this ribosomal RNA (251 nucleotides) under uncultured prokaryote. RNAcentral's name for it is "partial 16S rRNA". It matches the Rfam family "Bacterial small subunit ribosomal RNA", at positions 525 to 775 of the family's 1533-position model. The record is from RNAcentral.
ACGUAGGGUGCAAGCGUUAAUCGGAAUUACUGGGCGUAAAGCGUGCGCAGGCGGUUCGGAAAGAAGGAUGUGAAAUCCCAGGGCUCAACCUUGGAACUGCAUUCUUAACUACCGAACUAGAGUAUGUCAGAGGGGGGCAGAAUUCCGCGUGGAGCGCCGAAAUGCAUAAAUCUGCAGGAAAAGCCCGAGGGCGGAGGCAGAACACAGGGAUAGCUCCGACGGUGAUGGUCGAAAGUGUGGGGAGAAAACAG